CCUACGGGAGGCAGCAGUGAGGAAUAUUGGUCAAUGGGAGAGAUCCUGAACCAGCCAAGCCGCGUGAGGGAAGACGGCCCUAUGGGUUGUAAACCUCUUUUGUCGGAGAAUAAAACCCGGGACGUGUCCCGGACUGCGUGUAUCCGAAGAAAAAGCAUCGGCUAACUCCGUGCCAGCAGCCGCGGUAAUACGGAGGAUGCGAGCGUUAUCCGGAUUUAUUGGGUUUAAAGGGUGCGUAGGCGGUCCGUUAAGUCAGCGGGAAAAUUGCGGGGCUCAACCCCGUCGAGCCGUUGAAACUGGCAGACUUGAGUGUGCGAGAGGUAGGCGGAAUGCGCGGUGUAGCGGUGAAAUGCAUAGAUAUCACGCAGAACUCCGAUUGCGAAGGCAGCGUACCGGCGCCAGACUGACGCUGAGGCACGAAAGCGUGGGGAUCGAACAGGAUUAGAUACCCUUGUAGUC
This 459-nucleotide ribosomal RNA is filed under the name uncultured bacterium. Its description in RNAcentral is "partial 16S ribosomal RNA". It matches the Rfam family "Bacterial small subunit ribosomal RNA", at positions 338 to 795 of the family's 1533-position model. The record is from RNAcentral.